This 448-nucleotide ribosomal RNA is filed under the name uncultured bacterium. Its description in RNAcentral is "bacterial SSU rRNA". It matches the Rfam family "Bacterial small subunit ribosomal RNA", at positions 325 to 793 of the family's 1533-position model. The record is from RNAcentral.
CACUGUCACUCCUACGGGAGGCAGCAGUGGGGAAUCUUGGACAAUGGGCGCAAGCCUGAUCCAGCCAUGCCGCGUGAGUGAUGAAGGCCCUAGGGUCGUAAAGCUCUUUCGCCAGGGAUGAUAAUGACAGUACCUGGUAAAGAAACCCCGGCUAACUCCGUGCCAGCAGCCGCGGUAAUACGGAGGGGGUUAGCGUUGUUCGGAAUUACUGGGCGUAAAGCGCGCGUAGGCGGACUGGAAAGUUGGGGGUGAAAUCCCGGGGCUCAACCCCGGAACUGCCUCCAAAACUCCCAGUCUUGAGUUCGAGAGAGGUGAGUGGAAUUCCGAGUGUAGAGGUGAAAUUCGUAGAUAUUCGGAGGAACACCAGUGGCGAAGGCGGCUCACUGGCUCGAUACUGACGCUGAGGUGCGAAAGUGUGGGGAGCAAACAGGAUUAGAUACCCUGGUAG